This 480-nucleotide ribosomal RNA is filed under the name uncultured organism. RNAcentral describes it as "partial 16S ribosomal RNA". It matches the Rfam family "Bacterial small subunit ribosomal RNA", at positions 330 to 801 of the family's 1533-position model. The record is from RNAcentral.
CGUACACUCCUACGGGAGGCAGCAGUGGGGAAUAUUGCACAAUGGGCGCAAGCCUGAUGCAGCCAUGCCGCGUGUAUGAAGAAGGCCUUCGGGUUGUAAAGUACUUUCAGCGGGGAGGAAGGCGAUAAGGUUAAUAACCUUGUCGAUUGACGUUACCCGCAGAAGAAGCACCGGCUAACUCCGUGCCAGCAGCCGCGGUAAUACGGAGGGUGCAAGCGUUAAUCGGAAUUACUGGGCGUAAAGCGCACGCAGGCGGUCUGUCAAGUCGGAUGUGAAAUCCCCGGGCUCAACCUGGGAACUGCAUUCGAAACUGGCAGGCUAGAGUCUUGUAGAGGGGGGUAGAAUUCCAGGUGUAGCGGUGAAAUGCGUAGAGAUCUGGAGGAAUACCGGUGGCGAAGGCGGCCCCCUGGACAAAGACUGACGCUCAGGUGCGAAAGCGUGGGGAGCAAACAGGAUUAGAAACCCUAGUAGUCCCAUGAU